Molecule: ribosomal RNA, 693 nt
Filed under: Cylindrospermopsis raciborskii
Lineage: Bacteria; Bacillati; Cyanobacteriota; Cyanophyceae; Nostocales; Aphanizomenonaceae
Description: bacterial SSU rRNA
Rfam family: Bacterial small subunit ribosomal RNA
Source: RNAcentral
GGCGGACGGGUGAGUAACGCGUGAGAAUCUGGCUCCAGGUCGGGGAUAACAGUUGGAAACGACUGCUAAUACCGGAUGUGCCGAGAGGUGAAAGAUUUAUUGCCUGGAGAUGAGCUCGCGUCUGAUUAGCUAGUUGGUGGUGUAAGGGACCACCAAGGCGUCGAUCAGUAGCUGGUCUGAGAGGAUGAUCAGCCACACUGGGACUGAGACACGGCCCAGACUCCUACGGGAGGCAGCAGUGGGGAAUUUUCCGCAAUGGGCGAAAGCCUGACGGAGCAAUACCGCGUGAGGGAGGAAGGCUCUUGGGUCGUAAACCUCUUUUCUCAAGGAAGAAGAAAGUGACGGUACUUGAGGAAUAAGCAUCGGCUAACUCCGUGCCAGCAGCCGCGGUAAUACGGAGGAUGCAAGCGUUAUCCGGAAUGAUUGGGCGUAAAGGGUCUGCAGGUGGAACUGAAAGUCUGCUGUUAAAGAGUUUGGCUUAACCAAAUAAAAGCGGUGGAAACUACAGAACUAGAGUGCGGUAGGGGCAAAAGGAAUUCCUGGUGUAGCGGUGAAAUGCGUAGAUAUCAGGAAGAACACCGGUGGCGAAAGCGUUUUGCUAGACCGUAACUGACACUGAGGGACGAAAGCUAGGGGAGCGAAUGGGAUUAGAUACCCCAGUAGUCCUAGCCGUAAAAGAUGGAUACUAGGCUG